AAUACGUAGGGUGCAGGCGUUAAUCGGAAUUACUGGGCGUAAAGCGUGCGCAGGCGGUUUCUUAAGUCAGAUGUGAAAGCCCCGGGCUUAACCUGGGAACUGCGUUUGAAACUGGGAGACCAGAGUGUGGCAGAGGGGGGUGGAAUUCCACGUGUAGCAGUGAAAUGCGUAGAUAUGUGGAGGAACACCGAUGGCGAAGGCAGCCCCCUGGGUUAACACUGACGCUCAUGCACGAAAGCGUGGGGAGCAAACAGGA
Molecule: ribosomal RNA, 256 nt
Filed under: uncultured prokaryote
Description: partial 16S ribosomal RNA
Rfam family: Bacterial small subunit ribosomal RNA
Source: RNAcentral